This is an RNA transcript of Metopolophium dirhodum (rose-grain aphid), 1127 nucleotides long. It is a transcript of the gene named receptor expression-enhancing protein 5-like, with no coding region annotated. The record is from RefSeq and is a predicted model, not a curated record. The transcript has 7 exons. NCBI's taxonomy places the organism in Eukaryota, Metazoa, Arthropoda, Insecta, Hemiptera, Aphididae.
UACAAAUUUAUGACUAUGCCAUGAUAGGUUACUACAAUAUUUACCAUUGUGAUUGCUGAUGAUGUAUUUAUUAUAAUAUUAUUUAUAUGUCCAGCGAAUAGUCUACUGUUUUAUUUCGAGAGUCGACCACCGCUCACUACAAGCACAGAAUUAAGUGGUCCGUGCCGACGUCCGGGUUUUUCAACAAAUAGACUGGCCGCCGGGUUUUAAACUAUUUAGUUUUCAAAAAUAUCAGGUUACGUCGAAUAGCAGUCUACACAGUAUUUGUUAGUUCUUUCUUCAGUCAAGUUGAUCAAAGAUUUUAAUAUGGCAGUUCACCUCGAUUCGGCUAAAUCAGCCAUCAAAGAUUCAUUAUAUGAUGAAUCUAAACCCUGGUGUAAAUUUUUCGGUUGGGCUGAAGCACAAACAGGAAUCAAUAGACUGAAUUUAUUUAUUGGUUUAGCGGUGUUCCUUGUAUUCUACUUAUUAAUAGGAUAUGGAACCUUGUUAUUAAGUAAUUUGAUUGGCUUUUUAUACCCAGCAUAUGCAUCAAUUAAAGCGGUUGAAUCUAGUGGAAAAGAUGAUGACACAAAAUGGUUGACAUAUUGGGUGGUAUUUUCAUUUAUUACACUUAUUGAAUUACCAGCUGCAAUUUUAUUAAGCUGGAUACCAUUUUAUUCUUUAAUCAAAACAAUCUUUUUUGUGUGGUGUUUUAUACCAAUCAGCAAUAAUGGUUCUGUGGUUGUAUAUAAUAGAUUUAUACGUCCAUACUUUUUAAAACAUCAAGGAGAUAUUGAUCAAGCGGUAAAUGAUCUUUCCAAAAAAGCUACUGAUGUUGCAUUUGAGAAACUAGUUACUGCAAAAGUCAAUUAAAUAAUACAAUUAGUUUUGGGGUUAAAAUUUGUUGAACAUUCAUUAUAAAGGUUUCAUCAAUAAAAUUGAAAAGGGUACAAACAAGAACUAAAUUUGUUUUACAAGUUAUUUUAUUUUCGGUCUUUUAUUAACAGUUAUUUAUUAGAAUAUUACGACGAAAAAUGUUUAGAUUAUCAAUGUAAAGUGUCAUUAUAUUAUAUUUUUAAAUUUCAUUAAGUUUUCUAUUUCUGUAAAAUAUAAUUUCAUAAGUGUUAAUAAAAUAUUUUUAAACCUUA